AAUUGUGCAAGAGGAGCCGGGCGCGCAGGGCGCAAAUCACCGAGCGCUUGGUACGGACGGCUGCGGGUGAUUAAUUAUCCGUCCGCUGCCCUGGCGCUCUCCGGGCGGCUCUCCCGGCAGGGUAGCAGCCGAGCUGCCGGCGGCGGCUGAGCGAGAAGCGGCUCUGGGAGAACGCAGGGGCCGCGCCGAGUGUGAGUGCACCGCGCCGGGCGGCGGGCGGCGGGCGGGUGGCGAGCCGAGCGGGCUGCGCCGCGGCCAAGGGAGCAAGGGGAGAGUGAAGCCACCGCGAGCCGGAACGGAGGCCGAGAGCAAGCGGGAGCGCAGCCUGCCGCCCUCCGGGUUGACCCGGCCGGCAGGGAAGCCUGCACAGCCUCGCUCAGGUCUGAGUCCAGCUGCUCCAGACACCAGAAGUCAGACCCGCUGCUGUGAGGGGCCCGCGCUUUAGGACUGUUCGCUUGCAAAGACCUACUUCGAGACAGCAGACACUUUGACCAAGUCUUUCACAUACUCAGAAAGAUACAUUUGUUGAGUAGUGGCUUUUUCUCUUUUUAGCGGGAAACAAAGAAAUAAAUUAAGGCUUCGCAGGACCCAGGCUACACACGGUGAAACUUUGCAGCAAAUGCCUUUGCUUUCUCUAACUUCGAUGUCCUUUCCCCCCUUUUCCUUAAGGACCCUUGGGGAAGCCAGGAAGUAACACUGCACAAUCCAGUAGCACAGAAAUGACAAUGUAUAUAUUUUUAAAUUUCAGAAACAUUUAGAAAGAAAAGUAGCAGGAAGAAAAGGGCACAUAACAACUCGAGGUUUCUUUAAAAAAAAAAUGAAAGUAACUUACCUGUUGGGACAUUCUGAAUAAGAGGUUAGUGUCAGCGUUUUGCCAUGUCCCCAUGAACCCUGGUUCAGCCGCAGUUGUUCUGGUUCCGAACUGCAUGGAGUUGUCAGUACAGGAGUCUCUUAAAGUCAAGUCUCUUGCCCUCUUUGGCUCUCUGUCUCUCUGUGUGUCUCUUUCUCUCACAUCCACUUCUGCCUCUUCUGACUGAAAAGUGAAGGUGGAUUUUUUGAGCUUCUUGGCAGCCAGUAGCAGGAGUAUACUGUAGUUAAGAAGCUGGCUGAACUGUGCGUUUCAUUUGGGAAGGGGGAGAUCUGGGGGAGGGGGGUCAGAGCUUCCUUCGCACCUUCUGCACAGAUAUCCCUAUCAUUUAUGCAUAGAUUGUGACUCCCCUAGCUUGCCUUUGCUCGGUUUAACAGCUGCCUGUCAGGUGUGCAGGCUGCACUGGAGACCCAACCAUCAGCUUCAAACCCUCAGCCACUGCAUGUCAUUGGAUAGCAGAGCUAGGAGUCACUGCACUGUUCCACUGUCAGGCACCAAAUGACACCCUGCACUAACCCCUCUCCAGACACACAGAUAGAUACACACUCGUGCGUACUCCACGAAACGCCACGAUCACUGCCCACAAGGCCAGGGGAAGCCAGGGCCCUUCCCUGGGAAUUUUCCCCAACAAUGCUGUCUGCUGUAACAUGUUAUAUCCAACACCAGUCUUUUCUUUAACACUUGCAAAAAUAUGACACUUAAAUAUUUCUAAACAUACUGGAAGCAAGUGAAGUAUUCAUCUGGAGGAAAACAUAAAGUUUGCUCAGUUGUUUUUUUUUAAAUAUUAGCUGCCACAAGUCACACCGUAAUGCUGGGCUAUUUAUAACCACGUAUAAACUCAUAGAGAAAAUAAUAUACAGAGAUUUGACCUUAUAUUCUAAAGGGUGAACAAGCAAAGCUUCCAGUUAAACAUGGAAGAUGUACAAUAAACAUAUGAAAAAAAUAAAUAUAUACCACUUAAUAGCCAGCACCUCAGGCCAUUAACUACCAAACUGAAGGCUAAGUAAAGAGACCCUGAAAGCAGAGAAGAAAAGUGAAUAUCUUUUCUUAAAGCUCACAAGCAGAAUAAAAUCCUUUGUUAAAGUUCUCAGGUAAGGCAUCUACACCAAUCUUUUAAAUCAUAUAU
Molecule: long non-coding RNA, 1994 nt
Filed under: Mus musculus (house mouse)
Lineage: Eukaryota; Metazoa; Chordata; Mammalia; Rodentia; Muridae
Description: long non-coding RNA chr4:84545372-84547366
Source: RNAcentral